RNAcentral lists this transfer RNA (65 nucleotides) under marine eukaryotic metagenome. It matches the Rfam family "tRNA", at positions 5 to 66 of the family's 71-position model. Rfam says of the family: Transfer RNA (tRNA) molecules are approximately 80 nucleotides in length. Their secondary structure includes four short double-helical elements and three loops (D, anti-codon, and T loops). Further hydrogen bonds mediate the characteristic L-shaped molecular structure. tRNAs have two regions of fundamental functional importance: the anti-codon, which is responsible for specific mRNA codon recognition, and the 3' end, to which the tRNAs corresponding amino acid is attached (by aminoacyl-tRNA synthetases). tRNAs cope with the degeneracy of the genetic code in two manners: having more than one tRNA (with a specific anti-codon) for a particular amino acid; and 'wobble' base-pairing, i.e. permitting non-standard base-pairing at the 3rd anti-codon position. The record is from RNAcentral.
CCUGUAGCUCAGGGGAUAGAGCGUCGGUUUCCUAAACCGUAGGUCGGAGGUUCGAAUCCUCCCAG